GGUGAACGCUGGCGGCAGGCUUAACACAUGCAAGUCGAGCGGGCAUAGCAAUAUGUCAGCGGCAGACGGGUGAGUAACGCGUGGGAACGUACCUUUUGGUUCGGAACAACUGAGGGAAACUUCAGCUAAUACCGGAUAAGCCCUUACGGGGAAAGAUUUAUCGCCGAAAGAUCGGCCCGCGUCUGAUUAGCUAGUUGGUGAGGUAAUGGCUCACCAAGGCGACGAUCAGUAGCUGGUCUGAGAGGAUGAUCAGCCACAUUGGGACUGAGACACGGCCCAAACUCCUACGGGAGGCAGCAGUGGGGAAUAUUGGACAAUGGGCGCAAGCCUGAUCCAGCCAUGCCGCGUGAGUGAUGAAGGCCCUAGGGUUGUAAAGCUCUUUUGUGCGGGAAGAUAAUGACGGUACCGCAAGAAUAAGCCCCGGCUAACUUCGUGCCAGCAGCCGCGGUAA
This 451-nucleotide ribosomal RNA is filed under the name uncultured bacterium. Its description in RNAcentral is "partial 16S ribosomal RNA". It matches the Rfam family "Bacterial small subunit ribosomal RNA", at positions 28 to 523 of the family's 1533-position model. The record is from RNAcentral.